AAAAGCUCCCGUCCCGUCCUCCUCGGUCUGUUUCUAAUCAAACGGUCGAGGAUUAUUCGGGUCGGUGUUUUUUGCAGAUGCUGUGCCGUGUGUCUUCUGCUGCAAGCGUAGCUAUAUUCCGGCCAAAGGAAUAAUAGAAAGAAAUUGAGUAGCUAAGAACUCUCGAGGAGGCAGACAACAAGUUGCCGAGGACGGUUUUAUCCGCUGGCAAAGGUGCUCUUUUGGGUUUGACUUGGAAAAUUGUUUUGCAUGCGGAUUUUCUUCGAGAUGGUGCUUCAUGUGCGCGGAUUUUCAUUUUGACCCGUCGCCAAAGGAAGUGAAGCCAACCAUGAUAAAUAGUGUAGAACGUGUAGUAAUAUAUAUAUGUACAUAGGGUACUUGACGAGUGUGAUGGAAAAUUCUAUAAGUCAGCAUUUCUUCGAUGGAUGGCGUAGAAAGUGAAACUGAAGAAAAGCGUUUUAUUCCGUUUGAACAAGAAAAAUGGAAAAUCACGUACGGUUCACCGUGGAAGCGUUGCUGGUUGGAAUGUAAAGGAAGUCAGAUUAAAAAAAAAUAGAAAGUGACGGUUGGUAUUAUCGUGAAGUGUGUGUUGAAUGAAAUUUCGAAAUUCGAAAGUUUCGUAAGUGCUGUACCAAAGUAGUAGUGUUUUAUGGCGAUACGUGUACCGGCUUGCAGGCCGCCGGGAUAUUAUUAAAGUGCAACCAAAAGCUGUAGGCUGCCUAGAGGUGAACCCAGUCUGAAAGAGCUGAAUAUCGGAUAACAACCCAUGCAUAAUCGAGAGAAAUCGCUUUAAUCUGCCCGAAUAGAUUGUGCUGCAUACGUGCCGUUGAUUGAAUUAUUCAUGAAUGGCAAUCGGUGGUGAGCUAAAUCUCAUUGAAAUCACAGCUAAAUGCUACCAAGUGUUCCAAAAAUAUGUUAACGGAAAAAGCUUUCAGCAUCUAGAACGCGUGUUACCUCCCGAUGAGCAAACUGCGAUGGGUUCAGUCACACGCUGGUUUUUAUCGUACAUCAUCGCCAACAGCAUCGAGUGACACGAGAAGCAAGUGAGAUUACCCUGUGUCGAAGUGUGUCAUCAAUCUUCGUAGUUGACUACGACGACGAAAGGUUAAAGUGAAAGUUUGCUCCUUGAAAAGUGUUUCAUCCGCAAUUUAAAGCAUGCCUUUGCAUCGUUGCCAGUGUCGUCGUCGACGUCGGCGGUGAGGAAUGCUCGAAAUUCGAUAGGACCUCACCAUCCAUCGGUAGAUCGUGUUGCACAUUCUGAACGGUAUACAGGGUUGUGUAGUGAACUCCGUUUGAAGGCGAAGAAAAUUGUACUGCUCCAAUAUCCAUCUAACCACACGCCCGUAGCAUUUGGGGUGAAGCAUGCUUAACGAAAAGGAAGAUGAUCAGGAAAUAUGCAAAGCGCCAUCACCGACACCGGAGGAAAGGAAACUCUCCAAGGAUGCCGACAUAGAUCCGGUUGGGUCGCAAAG
Molecule: long non-coding RNA, 1472 nt
Organism: Ochlerotatus camptorhynchus
Lineage: Eukaryota; Metazoa; Arthropoda; Insecta; Diptera; Culicidae
Exons: 3
Source: RefSeq, a predicted model, not a curated record